AAGGUCUCCGAUAAGCAUGCUAGCAUGUGUGAAAACCCUAGCCCUUUGGAAGAUCAAUUUGGUCUCAAACCUUGCAAAUUAGCUUACCCAAUUUGGUGUGUAUUUGGGUUAGGUCAUGCCACCUAGAGGCAGCCCAAAGUGGGGCAUCUAAAGUUCUCUUAACACCACAAACUAAAAGUCCAAGUUGUGAAGAACUCUUGGCACAA
RNAcentral lists this long non-coding RNA (206 nucleotides) under Elaeis guineensis (African oil palm). Its description in RNAcentral is "long non-coding RNA (EGUI_LNC053830)". Lineage: Eukaryota; Viridiplantae; Streptophyta; Magnoliopsida; Arecales; Arecaceae. The record is from RNAcentral.